AACGAACGCUGGCGGCAGGCUUAACACAUGCAAGUCGAACGCCCCGCAAGGGGAGUGGCAGACGGGUGAGUAACGCGUGGGAACAUACCCUUUUCUACGGAAUAGCUCUGGGAAACUGGAAUUAAUACCGUAUACGCCCUACGGGGGAAAGAUUUAUCGGGGAAGGAUUGGCCCGCGUUGGAUUAGCUAGUUGGUGGGGUAAAGGCCUACCAAGGCGACGAUCCAUAGCUGGUCUGAGAGGAUGAUCAGCCACAUUGGGACUGAGACACGGGCCAAACUCCUACGGGAGGCAGCAGUGGGGAAUAUUGGACAAUGGGCGCAAGCCUGAUCCAGCCAUGCCGCGUGAGUGAUGAAGGCCUUAGGGUUGUAAAGCUCUUUCACCGAUGAAGAUAAUGACGGUAGUCGGAGAAGAAGCCCCGGCUAACUUCGU
RNAcentral lists this ribosomal RNA (430 nucleotides) under uncultured bacterium. RNAcentral's name for it is "partial 16S ribosomal RNA". It matches the Rfam family "Bacterial small subunit ribosomal RNA", at positions 29 to 506 of the family's 1533-position model. The record is from RNAcentral.